This 617-nucleotide ribosomal RNA is filed under the name Halorubrum distributum. RNAcentral's name for it is "partial 23S ribosomal RNA". It matches the Rfam family "Archaeal large subunit ribosomal RNA", at positions 1200 to 1859 of the family's 2987-position model. The record is from RNAcentral. Lineage: Archaea; Methanobacteriati; Methanobacteriota; Halobacteria; Halobacteriales; Haloferacaceae.
AGCUACCCGCUAAGAAAAGCGUAACAGCUUACCGGCCGAGGUUUGAGGCGCCCAAAAUGAUCGGGGCUCAAAUCUACCACCGAGACCUGGCCGUGCCCUUGACAGGGGCAACCGCGUAGGUUGGCGUUCUGUUCGGAUGGAAGCUCGGGCGAGAGCUCGCGUGGACCGUUCAGAAACGACAAUCCUGGUCACAGUAGCAGCGAUAGUCGGGUGAGAACCUCGACGGCCUGAUGAGCAAGGGUUCCUCGGCACUGCCACUCAGCCGAGGGUCAGCCGGUCCUAAGAUGCACCGUAAUUCGACUGCAUCAACGGGAAACUGGUUAAUAUUCCAGUGCCAUCGUGCAGUAAACGUCGACGCCGUGUGGAACGCUGAGCCGGGCUUUCGCCCGGUCAAAUCGUGGAAACUCGUGGAAGCCGUCACGGCACGAAGCGAGCGAAGCGCGAGAUAGCGCAAGUCAGCCGUACAUAGGGCCCGUGAAAAGACAAGCACGAUGUCCGUACCGAGAUCCGACACAGGUGCUCUGGCAGCGCAAGCCAAGGCCUGUCGGGAGAACCGACGUUAGGGAAUUCGGCAAGUUAGUCCCGUACCUUCGGAAGAAGGGAUGCCUGCUCUCUAC